ACCUGCCAGGUUACGAACAGAAACAUCAUAGGAGGCCGACGACCCCAGGCGAGCGGGCUGCUGACCGCGAAGCCAGAUCGGAAAAGUGAGCGGAGGUAGAUGAAGAGCUUGGGCAGGGAUA
This 121-nucleotide non-coding RNA is filed under the name Allorhodopirellula heiligendammensis. The record is from RNAcentral. Lineage: Bacteria; Pseudomonadati; Planctomycetota; Planctomycetia; Pirellulales; Pirellulaceae.